AUUGAACGCUGGCGGAAUGCUUUACACAUGCAAGUCGAACGGCAGCACGGACUUCGGUCUGGUGGCGAGUGGCGAACGGGUGAGUAAUGUAUCGGAACGUGCCCAGUCGUGGGGGAUAACGUAGUGAAAAUUACGCUAAUACCGCAUACGAUCUAUGGAUGAAAGCGGGGGAUCGCAAGACCUCGCGCGAUUGGAGCGGCCGAUAUCAGAUUAGGUAGUUGGUGGGGUAAAGGCCCACCAAGCCAACGAUCUGUAGCUGGUCUAAGAGGACGACCAGCCACACUGGAGCUGAGACACGGUCCAGACUCCUACGGGAGGCAGCAGUGGGGAAUUUUGGACAAUGGGCGAAAGCCUGAUCCAGCCAUUCCGUGUGCAGGAUGAAGGCCCUCGGGUUGUAAACUGCUUUUGUACAGAACGAAAAGGUUUCUACUAAUACUAGGAGCUCAUGACGGUACUGUAAGAAUAAGCACCGGCUAACUACGUGCCAGCCGCCGCGGUAA
RNAcentral lists this ribosomal RNA (500 nucleotides) under uncultured bacterium. RNAcentral describes it as "partial 16S ribosomal RNA". It matches the Rfam family "Bacterial small subunit ribosomal RNA", at positions 30 to 523 of the family's 1533-position model. The record is from RNAcentral.